UAUGGCCGACCCAACUGUCGAUAGACCUCACACAGUAUUGCCGAUAGAGAUGAGAAGAGGAGAAAUAAGGAGAAAAGGUUAGAUUUUGGACAAGUUAAGAAGAGAGAGUAGAGAGGAAAGGGAAAAUUAAUUCUUCGCCACAAACUAUCUCUCCCAGGCUGAUAUCCUAUGAGGAGAAAUAACUUAGAGGAAAUAUUAACAUAUUGGGACUCAAAAAUGUACAAUAGCAGAUGUUCCCA
RNAcentral lists this long non-coding RNA (239 nucleotides) under Carica papaya (papaya). RNAcentral's name for it is "long non-coding RNA (CPAP_LNC003531)". The record is from RNAcentral. Lineage: Eukaryota; Viridiplantae; Streptophyta; Magnoliopsida; Brassicales; Caricaceae.